This 293-nucleotide ribosomal RNA is filed under the name uncultured bacterium. RNAcentral's name for it is "partial 16S ribosomal RNA". It matches the Rfam family "Bacterial small subunit ribosomal RNA", at positions 775 to 1067 of the family's 1533-position model. The record is from RNAcentral.
GGAUUAGAUACCCUGGUAGUCCACGCCGUAAACGAUGUCGACUAGCCGUUGGGGAACUUGAGUCCUUGGUGGCGCAGUUAACGCUUUAAGUCGACCGCCUGGGGAGUACGGCCGCAAGGUUAAAACUCAAAUGAAUUGACGGGGGCCCGCACAAGCGGUGGAGCAUGUGGUUUAAUUCGAUGCAACGCGAAGAACCUUACCAGGCCUUGACAUCCUUGGAAUUCUGCAGAGAUGCGGAAGUGCCUUCGGGAAUCAAGUGACAGGUGCUGCAUGGCUGUCGUCAGCUCGUGCCG